CCCAAGGCUGUGGGUAUGAGGCCGGGGCCCUGCACCGGAAGGGAGGGCGGAAGCCACGGGACGUGGAGCAGAUGGUGAGGAUAGUGGGGAGGUAGCAGCAGAGGAUGACCCGAGGCAAAAGUGCAAGUGAAGAAAAGUCGCCUUGCCGGGCAGAGGUACGGGACCAAGGCGCCUCCUCUGGGCUGAGGAGUUAGAGGGAAGAAAAUGGCGCCCUGUCAUGAGGGCGCGAGGUCCGAGUUGAGGGGAGAAGACUGAGGGACACAGAAGUGGCCGAAGUGAGGGCGCUGAGGUCAGCCUGAGCUGAGAGGGCCGGCAGAUCACGCCGCAGCCGAAGUGAACGAACUCGAGUGAGGAAAUUACUCCAGGAUUUGAAUCAUCACAAGAGAUUCACCAGAGGAUUUUAUACACUUGGGCUGUGGCAGCAGACUAAUUACAUCACAGCACUAGGCUAAAGAAGAAAAAUCACAUGAUCAUAUCAAUAGAUGCAGAAAAAGCAUCUGACAAAAACCAGCUCUCAUUCAUGAUCAGAACUCUCAGCAAACUAGUAAUAGAGGGGAACUUACUCAACUUGAUAAAGAACAUAUGCAAAAAUCUUUCAGCUAACAUCGUACUUAAUGGUAAGAAAUUGAAGCUUUCCCACUAAGAUCAGGAGCAAGGCAAGGACGUCUCCUUUGACCAACCCUUUUCAACAUCAUAUUUAUUGGAAGUCCUAGCUAAUGCAAUAAGACAAGAAAAAGAAGUAAAAAGUAUACAGAUUGGGAAGAAGAAAAUAGAACUGCCUUUGUUUGCAGAUGACAUGAUUAUCUAUGUAGAAAAUCUGAAAGAAUUGACCAAAAAAACCCUCCUGGAGCUAAUAAGCAAUGAUAACAAGGUGGCAAAAAUAGGUUGAUAUACAAAAGUUAAUUGCUUUCCUAUAUGCCAGCAACAAACAAAUGAGAUUUGAAAUUAAAACCAAAAUCCCAUUUACAAUAAUACCCCCAACUUAAAUACUUAGGCAUAAAACUAACAAAAAUAUGUAAGACCUUUAUAAGGGAAGUUAUAAAACUCUGAUGAACAUAUAAAAAGCUAAAUAAAGGAGAGAGAUUCCAUGUUUAUGGAUAGGAAGACUCAAUAUUACCAAGACAUCACUUCUUCCCAACUUGAUGUAUAGAUCCAAGGCAGACCAAACCAAAAUCCCAGAAAAUAAUUUCCUGGAUAUUAACAGAAUCUUUUUUUUUUUUUUUUUUUUUCCUGAAACGGAGUCUCACUGUG
RNAcentral lists this long non-coding RNA (1251 nucleotides) under Homo sapiens (human). Its description in RNAcentral is "HSALNT0354741". Lineage: Eukaryota; Metazoa; Chordata; Mammalia; Primates; Hominidae. The record is from RNAcentral.